RNAcentral lists this ribosomal RNA (465 nucleotides) under Vreelandella stevensii. RNAcentral's name for it is "partial 16S ribosomal RNA". It matches the Rfam family "Bacterial small subunit ribosomal RNA", at positions 338 to 795 of the family's 1533-position model. The record is from RNAcentral. Lineage: Bacteria; Pseudomonadati; Pseudomonadota; Gammaproteobacteria; Oceanospirillales; Halomonadaceae.
CCUACGGGUGGCAGCAGUGGGGAAUAUUGGACAAUGGGCGAAAGCCUGAUCCAGCCAUGCCGCGUGUGUGAAGAAGGCCUUCGGGUUGUAAAGCACUUUCAGUGGGGAAGAAAGCCUUGGGGCUAAUACCCUCGAGGAAGGACAUCACCCACAGAAGAAGCACCGGCUAACUCCGUGCCAGCAGCCGCGGUAAUACGGAGGGUGCGAGCGUUAAUCGGAAUUACUGGGCGGAAAGCGCGCGUAGGCGGUCUGAUAAGCCGGUUGUGAAAGCCCCGGGCUCAACCUGGGAACGGCAUCCGGAACUGUCAGGCUAGAGUGCAGGAGAGGAAGGUAGAAUUCCCGGUGUAGCGGUGAAAUGCGUAGAGAUCGGGAGGAAUACCAGUGGCGAAGGCGGCCUUCUGGACUGACACUGACGCUGAGGUGCGAAAGCGUGGGUAGCAAACAGGAUUAGAUACCCGAGUAUUC